Molecule: non-coding RNA, 21 nt
Filed under: Arabidopsis thaliana (thale cress)
Lineage: Eukaryota; Viridiplantae; Streptophyta; Magnoliopsida; Brassicales; Brassicaceae
Source: RNAcentral
UCUGUUCAGGCAAUGUAAGGA